RNAcentral lists this small nuclear RNA (322 nucleotides) under Mus pahari (shrew mouse). RNAcentral's name for it is "sRNA (MGP_PahariEiJ_G0008041.1)". The stretch from base 1 to 278 matches the Rfam family "7SK RNA". Rfam says of the family: 7SK was discovered as an abundant small nuclear RNA in the mid-70s but a possible function has only recently been suggested. The record is from RNAcentral. Lineage: Eukaryota; Metazoa; Chordata; Mammalia; Rodentia; Muridae.
GGAUGUGACAGUUAUUCAGCUGUGGCAUCUGUUACUCUGUGGUCAUCAAAGCUGAUUUGGCUGAUAUGGCUGUCUAGACAGGCGUCGCCUGUUUCCCUCUCAACUCUCUGUGUCUCUUCCAGAGCUGUGUGCUUGGUCAAAGAGCUCUAACCUCCAUUAGAGUAGGAAAAGUCUUCAGUUAAGAAUAUAGGGGUGACUGUGUUCCCCUGUCAGAAUCCCCUAACAAGCCAUCAGUAUACCAGUACACAACACAUUAGCCCCUGGGAACAUUUCCUGUUCAAACCUUAACAAGUCCACAGUGGUCCACAGCACGACCUGAUUU